RNAcentral lists this long non-coding RNA (345 nucleotides) under Homo sapiens (human). Its description in RNAcentral is "non-protein coding lnc-PMP22-4:2". The record is from RNAcentral. Lineage: Eukaryota; Metazoa; Chordata; Mammalia; Primates; Hominidae.
GGGCAUGUUGGAAACCAGUUGAGUUUUUUUAAAUUUUUUUUGAGAUGGAGUCUCACUCUGUCACCCAGGCUGGAGUGCAGGGGCCUGAUCUCCACUCGCUGCAACCUCUGCCUCCUGGAUUCAAGCAAUUCUCCUGCCUUUGCCAAAUCUUCCUUUGAAUUCUAAUAAUUCCUUGCUUCAUUAGUAUUGAUACUAUGAUAGUUAUGCAUAAAGAAUUUUUAUGGUUAUAGCCCUGUCUGAAUUAUCCCUACUGCACUCCAGCCUGGGUGACAGAACAAGAUCCUGUCUCAAAAAAGAAAAAAAGAAAAAGGAAAAAAAGGUGAACUAGAUUCUUAAAAUUCAUAU